Molecule: ribosomal RNA, 462 nt
Filed under: uncultured Planctomycetaceae bacterium
Lineage: Bacteria; Pseudomonadati; Planctomycetota; Planctomycetia; Planctomycetales; Planctomycetaceae
Description: bacterial SSU rRNA
Rfam family: Bacterial small subunit ribosomal RNA
Source: RNAcentral
CCUACGGGGGGCUGCAGUCGAGAAUCUUCGGCAAUGGACGAAAGUCUGACCGAGCGACGCCGCGUGCGGGAUGAAGGCCUUCGGGUUGUAAACCGCUGUCAGUUGGGAGGAAAUCACAUGGGGUUCUCUCCAUGUGUUGACCUAUCUUCAGAGGAAGGACGGGCUAAGUUCGUGCCAGCAGCCGCGGUAAGACGAACCGUCCAAACGUUAUUCGGAAUUACUGGGCUUAAAGGGUGCGUAGGCGGCCCUGUAAGUUGGGUGUGAAAUCCCUCGGCUCAACCGAGGAAUUGCGCCCAAUACUGCAGGGCUAGAGGGAGACAGAGGUGAGCGGAACUUGUGGUGGAGCGGUGAAAUGCGUUGAUAUUACAAGGAACACCUGUGGCGAAAGCGGCUCACUGGGUCUCUUCUGACGCUGAGGCACGAAAGCUGGGGGAGCGAACGGGAUUAGAUACCCCGGUAGUC